AUUGAACGCUGGCGGCAGGCCUAACACAUGCAAGUCGAGCGGAUGAAGGGAGCUUGCUCCUGGAUUCAGCGGCGGACGGGUGAGUAAUGCCUAGGAAUCUGCCUGGUAGUGGGGGAUAACGUCCGGAAACGGGCGCUAAUACCGCAUACGUCCUGAGGGAGAAAGUGGGGGAUCUUCGGACCUCACGCUAUCAGAUGAGCCUAGGUCGGAUUAGCUAGUUGGUGGGGUAAAGGCCUACCAAGGCGACGAUCCGUAACUGGUCUGAGAGGAUGAUCAGUCACACUGGAACUGAGACACGGUCCAGACUCCUACGGGAGGCAGCAGUGGGGAAUAUUGGACAAUGGGCGAAAGCCUGAUCCAGCCAUGCCGCGUGUGUGAAGAAGGUCUUCGGAUUGUAAAGCACCUUGAGUUGGGAGGAAGGGCAGUAAGUUAAUACCUUGCUGUUUUGACGUUACCAACAGAAUAAGCACCGGCUAACUUCGUG
RNAcentral lists this ribosomal RNA (484 nucleotides) under uncultured bacterium. Its description in RNAcentral is "partial 16S ribosomal RNA". It matches the Rfam family "Bacterial small subunit ribosomal RNA", at positions 30 to 507 of the family's 1533-position model. The record is from RNAcentral.